RNAcentral lists this ribosomal RNA (253 nucleotides) under uncultured bacterium. RNAcentral's name for it is "partial 16S ribosomal RNA". It matches the Rfam family "Bacterial small subunit ribosomal RNA", at positions 524 to 776 of the family's 1533-position model. The record is from RNAcentral.
UACGGAGGGGGCUAGCGUUGUUCGGAAUUACUGGGCGUAAAGCGGGUGUAGGCGGAUUGCUAAGUCGGGGGUGAAAGCCCAGGGCUCAACCCUGGAAUUGCCUUCGAUACUGGCAGUCACGAGUGCAGGAGAGGUGAGCGGAAUUCCGAGUGUAGAGGUGAAAUUCGUAGAUAUUCGGAGGAACACCAGAGGCGAAGGCGGCUCACGGGACUGUUACUGACGCUGAGACCAGAAAGCGUGGGGAGCAAACAGG